Long non-coding RNA from Hyla sarda, 255 nucleotides. RefSeq lists it as uncharacterized. The transcript has 3 exons. The record is from RefSeq and is a predicted model, not a curated record. NCBI's taxonomy places the organism in Eukaryota, Metazoa, Chordata, Amphibia, Anura, Hylidae.
CCCUCCCCCCUGCUCUGUAUUCUAAGGACACAGGUCUGCACAGGAGAAAGACUUCACAGAGAAGAUGAGUGUUAUCUGAAGGGGAGGAUGAGAAGUUUCCAUACCUGAGCCAGGAUCCAGCAGUCUCCAGCGACGAUCCGGGGUCCCCAAGCAUCUUCUCCUACAGAUACGUGAAUGCGGACGACUAUGUCAGAUUUGUCGGAUUGCAAUGAUGAACAGCAUUUUUAAAUAUGUCAAUUAAAUGGUUAACGUGGG